ACGGAAGGCAGCAGUGGGGGAUAUUGCACAAUGGGGGAAACCCUGAUGCAGCGACGCCGCGUGAGUGAAGAAGUAUUUCGGUAUGUAAAGCUCUAUCAGCAGGAAAGAUAAUGACGGUACCUGACUAAGAAGCACCGGCUAAAUACGUGCCAGCAGCCGCAGUAAUACGUAUGGUGCAAGCGUUAUCCGGAUUUACUGGGUGUAAAGGGAGCGCAGACGGCAUGGCAAGCCAGAUGUGAAAUGCGGGGGCUCAACUCCUGAACUGCAUUUGGAACUGUCAAGCUAGAGUACCGGAGAGGUAAGUGGAAUUCCUAGUGUAGCGGUGAAAUGCGUAGAUAUUAGGAGGAACACCAGUGGCGAAGGCGGCUUACUGGACGAUAACUGACGUUGAGGCUCGAAAGCGUGGGGAGCAAACAGGAUUAGAUACCCUGGUA
Molecule: ribosomal RNA, 434 nt
Filed under: uncultured Lachnospiraceae bacterium
Lineage: Bacteria; Bacillati; Bacillota; Clostridia; Lachnospirales; Lachnospiraceae
Description: bacterial SSU rRNA
Rfam family: Bacterial small subunit ribosomal RNA
Source: RNAcentral